RNAcentral lists this ribosomal RNA (482 nucleotides) under uncultured bacterium. Its description in RNAcentral is "bacterial SSU rRNA". It matches the Rfam family "Bacterial small subunit ribosomal RNA", at positions 501 to 982 of the family's 1533-position model. The record is from RNAcentral.
CUACGUGCCAGCAGCCGCGGUAAUACGGAGGGUGCGAGCGUUAAUCGGAAUUACUGGGCGUAAAGCGCACGCAGGCGGUUGAUUGAGUCAGAUGUGAAAUCCCCGGGCUUAACCCGAGAAUUGCAUCUGAUACUGGUCAGCUAGAGUCUUGUAGAGGGGGGUAGAAUUCCAUGUGUAGCGGUGAAAUGCGUAGAGAUGUGGAGGAAUACCGGUGGCGAAGGCGGCCCCCUGGACAAAGACUGACGCUCAGGUGCGAAAGCGUGGGGAGCAAACAGGAUUAGAUACCCUGGUAGUCCACGCUGUAAACGAUGUCGACUUGGAGGUUGUGCCCUUGAGGCGUGGCUUCCGGAGCUAACGCGUUAAGUCGMCCGCCUGGGGAGUACGGCCGCAAGGUUAAAACUCAAAUGAAUUGACGGGGGCCCGCACAAGCGGUGGAGCAUGUGGUUUAAUUCGAUGCAACGCGAAGAACCUUACCUACUCUU